This 199-nucleotide long non-coding RNA is filed under the name Elaeis guineensis (African oil palm). RNAcentral's name for it is "long non-coding RNA (EGUI_LNC008013)". The record is from RNAcentral. Lineage: Eukaryota; Viridiplantae; Streptophyta; Magnoliopsida; Arecales; Arecaceae.
UCUCUUUCUUGAUUUGCCCAGCUCUCUUACAUUCCAUGAAAGGAUUGUCAUUUGGGUUAAUCUAAUUUUCGUCUGUGGUCUUUUACUGCCUAUAUAUCAUUCUGCUUACUUAAAGUAUUUGGUCUAUUGGUUAUCUAUGAGUUUCAUCUGUUUUGAUGUUUGGCCUACUGUAGCAUCUCUUUGUAACUUGGUUGUACCC